AUUGAACGCUGGUGGCAUGCCUUACACAUGCAAGUCGAACGGCAGCACGGGAGCAAUCCUGGUGGCGAGUGGCGAACGGGUGAGUAAUAUAUCGGAACGUGCCCAGUCGUGGGGAUAACGUAGCGAAAGCUACGCUAAUACCGCAUACGAUCUAUGGAUGAAAGCGGGGGAUCGCAAGACCUCGCGCGAUUGGAGCGGCCGAUAUCAGAUUAGGUAGUUGGUGAGGUAAAGGCUCACCAAGCCGACGAUCUGUAGCUGGUCUGAGAGGACGACCAGCCACACUGGGACUGAGACACGGCCCAGACUCCUACGGGAGGCAGCAGUGGGGAAUUUUGGACAAUGGGCGCAAGCCUGAUCCAGCAAUGCCGCGUGCAGGAUGAAGGCCU
This 386-nucleotide ribosomal RNA is filed under the name uncultured bacterium. RNAcentral describes it as "bacterial SSU rRNA". It matches the Rfam family "Bacterial small subunit ribosomal RNA", at positions 30 to 417 of the family's 1533-position model. The record is from RNAcentral.